Molecule: long non-coding RNA, 210 nt
Filed under: Panax ginseng (ginseng)
Lineage: Eukaryota; Viridiplantae; Streptophyta; Magnoliopsida; Apiales; Araliaceae
Description: long non-coding RNA (PGIN_LNC016532)
Source: RNAcentral
AAGAACCUAAAUCAGUUUUAUGAACAAAAUCAGUUAUCUUAUGGUCAUUGUCCAUAACCACACUGGAGGAUUCAAUAAAUGCUCCACCAACUCCAUCAGAUGUACCAGAUCCAUCAGAAUCUGUGACCCUAACAGGAUCAGAUUGUGAAGCUUGCUCCUCUCGUAGACUUGCACCAGCAGGAUGUAGUUGGCUACUUGAUGUAGUUUUUU